RNAcentral lists this long non-coding RNA (245 nucleotides) under Daucus carota (carrot). RNAcentral's name for it is "long non-coding RNA (DCAR_LNC005739)". Lineage: Eukaryota; Viridiplantae; Streptophyta; Magnoliopsida; Apiales; Apiaceae. The record is from RNAcentral.
GAAAAACUCAGUUAAUUAUUUUCACCCAAUGCCCUGUAUAUAUCAUGUGCCCAGACAAAUUAGUCAGAGAGAGCAUAAACUCAAGCUCAGGCAGACACACAUGUUUGCAUGCAGGAGAGCUCUUAAAAGAUUAUAUAAUAAAAAGUGACAAAUGCAGGAAACAGGUAAACAAGAAAGGCUUAACUAUCCUAAGGGGAAAAAAUUAAUUAAACUAACAAGUCUAUACAUGAGCUUUUAUGAAAAUU